CUUUUAAGCUUUUUUGUUAUCAUUAUUCCCACACUUUCCUUCUAAGAUUUUAACUUCUGACAUCUUUAAAACACAUUUCUUGCCUGGCACGGUGGUGCAUGCCUAUAAUCCCAGCAGCCUGGGAGGCUGAGGCAGGAGGAUCUCCAGUUCAAAGCCAGCCUCAGCAAUUUAGCAAGGGCCUAAGCAACUUGGCAAGACCCUAUCUCAAAAUAAAUAAAAUAAAAAGAGCUGGAGAUGUGGCUCAGUGGUUAAGUGCCUCUGGGUUUAAUCCCUGGUUCAAAAACAAAACACACUUCUCUAAGGUCAUCAUAAUAAUCUUUUCUAAGUAGGAGAUGGGUGUGGUAUAGGUUUGUUUUAAAAUCCUGCCAGGCUGGGGCUCAGCAGUAGAGCCGCUUCGUACCUGCAAGACCCUGGGUUCAAUCCUCAGCACAACAUAAAAAUAAAUAAGUGAAAUAAAGGUAAAAAUAAAUGAAUAAAUAAAUUCCUGUCUACAUUAACUGCUUGUUUGGUAGGCAGGUAAGAGGAAACUAGAUAUGCCUGAAGCCUAAAUGAUUGGCAUCAAAUAUUAAUUGAAGAUAAUUUAGAAGUUAGCAUAUAAGCCAUUUUAUAAAUUAUGUAAGAUAAUUAGAAAUCAUUUUAUAAAAAUUUAUAUGCCAUAUGUAAGAUGUGUAUCUGUUACGAUUUACUAUAAGUUUAGCAAGGAGUUGAAGUACAAGAAGAAAUAAACCAAAGUAAUGAUAAGUUAUUUAAUAUAGUCUUAUUUCUAAUGAAGUUUAAAUAAAUUAAUUGCUUGAUCCAGAGUCGUGAAGUAAAAG
This 815-nucleotide long non-coding RNA is filed under the name Marmota monax (woodchuck). The record is from RNAcentral. Lineage: Eukaryota; Metazoa; Chordata; Mammalia; Rodentia; Sciuridae.